AAUGGCCUCUCCCUGCCGUGGCCUUGGGAAAUCUUUUCCAGCCUCACGGAUUCUGGGAUUCUGGGAAUGUCCCCCAGGAGCUGCUGAGCCCCGGGAUGGACCCUGGGGACAUGGACUGGGCUCGGACACCCAAAUCCCGGGAUCUGCCUCUUCCCAAAGGAUCCUGUGGCCACUCCAUGGGAAUUCCCGGAGCUCUCCCGAGCAUCCGCCAGCCCCGGCACUUUCCAAGGGCUCCAUGGAAGCGUCUCCUGCUCCCCUUUUCCCUGGAUCCCCCUUUUCCUUCUUCCCAUUUUCCCUGGAUCCCCCUUUUCCCUGGAUCCCCUUUUCCCUGGAUCCCCUUUUCCCUGGAUCCCCUUUUCCCUGGAUUCUCCUCUCCCUGCUCUCCCAGGCUCCUCUCUCCAUCCCAGGUCAAUCCCAAGGAUUCCCAGAUUCCCAAGGCUGGGAACGGAGCCGCUCCUUCCCCUCCCCAAACUUCCCGGGACAUUUCCCAGGCCCCGACUUUAGCGGGAAGAAUUCCAGUGCGGAAAAGGGAGAUGGGAAACGCCGGGAAUUUGCCGAUUUGGGCAAAAAAAGUCGAUUUUUCCAAGAUUCCGGAUGCAGCGGGAAGCUCCUUCCCUUCCCCAAUUUGGGGACAGCACAAAGAUCCCGGCCUCCCCCAUCCCUAAAAUUCCUCCUGGGAUCUCUCCCAGCUGAGAAUUCCCCGGCAGAGCCAUCCCUGGAUCCGAGUGGAGCCGUGGGAUGCGGGGAAAAGCUGCUCCAGCCUCCCUUUGGCCAUUCCCAACUGGGAUUUUUCCAGCUGGAUUUGGGAAUUUUGGGGUUUUCUUUUGUCUUGGUUUUUUUUUUUUUUUAAUUCUGAUUUUCUACAAAAUCGCCGCCACCUCCUCCCUUCUCCAGAGGAAAUUCCCGCUUGGAUUCCCACUGGGAAUGACCUCACCCUCCUCUUCCUCCUCCUCCUGCACCGCCCCUUUCCCAAAUCCAAAUAUCCCGAUAAAAAAAAUCCCCCUCCGCCCUUUCCUCCCUCAACCCCGGAUCAAUUUUUAAAUCCCAAUUCCAAUUUUUUUAAUCCCAAUUCCAAUUUUUUAAAUCCCAAUUCCAAUUUUUUAAAUCCCAAUUCCAAUUUUUUAAAUCCCAAUUCCAAUUUUUUAAAUCCCAAUUCCAAUUUUUUUGAUCCCAAUUUUUAAAAUCCCAAUUCCAAUCUUUUAAAUCCCAAUUCCAAUUUUUAAAAUCCCAAUUCCAAUUUUUUUAAUCCCAAUUCCAAUUUUUUUAAAACCCAAUUCCAAUUUUUUAAUCCCAAUUCCAAUUUUCAAAAUCCCAAUUCCAAUUUUUUGAUCCCAUCCAAUUUUUUAAUCCCAAUUCCAAUUUUUUUUAAAUCCCAAUUCCAAUUUUUUAAAUCCCAAUUCCAAUUUUUAAUCCCAAUUCCAAUUUUUUAAAUCCCAAUUCCAAUCUUUUAAAUCCCAAUUCCAAUUUUUUAAUCCCAAUUCCAAUUUUUUGAUCCCAAUUCCAAUUUUUAAAUCCCAAUUUUUUUAAUCCCGAUUCCAAUUUUUUGAUCCCAUCCAAUUUUUUUUAAAUCCCAAUUCCAAUUUUUUAAUCCCAAUUCCAAUUUUUUAAAUCCCAAUUCCAAUUUUUUAAUCCCAAUUCCAAUGUUUUUUAAAUCCCACUUCCAAUUUUUUUAAAUCCCAAUUCCAAUUUUCAAAAUCCCAAUUCCAAUUUUUAAAUCCCAAUUCCAACUUUUAAAAUUCCAAUUUUUAAAUCCCAAUUCCAAUUUUUUAAAUCCCAAUUCAAAUUUUUUAAAUCCCGAUUCCAAUUUUUAAAUCCCAAUUUUUUUAAUCCCAAUUCCAAUUUUUAAAAUU
This 1850-nucleotide long non-coding RNA is filed under the name Cyanistes caeruleus (blue tit). Its description in RNAcentral is "lncRNA (ENSCCEG00000004749.1)". The record is from RNAcentral. Lineage: Eukaryota; Metazoa; Chordata; Aves; Passeriformes; Paridae.